Molecule: ribosomal RNA, 463 nt
Filed under: uncultured Desulfobulbus sp.
Lineage: Bacteria; Pseudomonadati; Thermodesulfobacteriota; Desulfobulbia; Desulfobulbales; Desulfobulbaceae
Description: bacterial SSU rRNA
Rfam family: Bacterial small subunit ribosomal RNA
Source: RNAcentral
CACAAGCGGUGGAGUAUGUGGUUUAAUUCGAUGCAACGCGAAGAACCUUACCUGGUCUUGACAUCCCGGAGACCCUUAGGAAACUAGGGGUGCUUCCAUCUGGAAGAAUCUGGAGACAGGUGCUGCAUGGCUGUCGUCAGCUCGUGUCGUGAGAUGUUGGGUUAAGUCCCGCAACGAGCGCAACCCUUGCCUUUAGUUGCCAGCAGUUCGGCUGGGCACUCUAAAGGGACUGCCGGUGUUAAACCGGAGGAAGGUGGGGAUGACGUCAAGUCCUCAUGGCCUUUAUGACCAGGGCUACACACGUACUACAAUGGCCGAUACAAAGGGCAGCGACACUGCGAGGUGAAGCCAAUCCCGUAAAAUCGGUCUCAGUCCGGGUUGGAGUCUGCAACUCGACUCCAUGAAGUUGGAAUCGCUAGUAAUCGUGGAUCAGCAUGCCACGGUGAAUACGUUCCCGGGCCUU